Molecule: ribosomal RNA, 295 nt
Filed under: uncultured bacterium
Lineage: Bacteria
Description: partial 16S ribosomal RNA
Rfam family: Bacterial small subunit ribosomal RNA
Source: RNAcentral
GGAUUAGAUACCCUGGUAGUCCACGCAGUAAACGAUGAGUGCUAGAUAUUUGGAACACUAUGUUCUGGGUGUCGUAGCUAACGCGUUAAGCACUCCGCCUGAGGAGUACGGUCGCAAGACUAAAACUCAAAGGAAUUGACGGGGACCCGCACAAGCGGUGGAACAUGUGGUUUAAUUCGAAGAUACGCGAAGAACCUUACCAGGUCUUGACAUACUAGUCGUAUUUCAUAGUAAUAUGAAAGUCAGCUCGGCUGGACUAGUACAGGUGUUGCAUGGUUGUCGUCAGCUCGUGUCG